This 203-nucleotide long non-coding RNA is filed under the name Elaeis guineensis (African oil palm). RNAcentral's name for it is "long non-coding RNA (EGUI_LNC060755)". The record is from RNAcentral. Lineage: Eukaryota; Viridiplantae; Streptophyta; Magnoliopsida; Arecales; Arecaceae.
UUGUUGGAUUUUUAUGAUUUCAUGCAUGUAAAAAUUUUUCAAAACAAGUAUGCAGUGGAAUUUAAAAUUUUUAAAUUAAAUCUAAUUUAAUCUAAGUAUGCAUAAGAUCAAAUCUUCAAACCAUAAACAGGAUCAUCAUAUAUGAGAUAAGAUUCAGAUAUAAAAAUUAAAUAAAAAUAAAUAAAUAAAGAACAUAUCUUGGC